This 401-nucleotide ribosomal RNA is filed under the name uncultured bacterium. Its description in RNAcentral is "bacterial SSU rRNA". It matches the Rfam family "Bacterial small subunit ribosomal RNA", at positions 356 to 775 of the family's 1533-position model. The record is from RNAcentral.
GGGGAAUAUUGGACAAUGGGCGCAAGCCUGAUCCAGCCAUGCCGCGUGAGUGAUGAAGGCCCUAGGGUUGUAAAGCUCUUUUGUGCGGGAAGAUAAUGACGGUACCGCAAGAAUAAGCCCGGCUAACUUCGUGCCAGCAGCCGCGGUAAUACGAAGGGGGCUAGCGUUGCUCGGAAUCACUGGGCGUAAAGGGUGCGUAGGCGGGUCUUUAAGUCAGGGGUGAAAUCCUGGAGCUCAACUCCAGAACUGCCUUUGAUACUGAGGAUCUUGAGUUCGGGAGAGGUGAGUGGAACUGCGAGUGUAGAGGUGAAAUUCGUAGAUAUUCGCAAGAACACCAGUGGCGAAGGCGGCUCACUGGCCCGAUACUGACGCUGAGGCACGAAAGCGUGGGGAGCAAACAG